AAAAAAAAAAAAAAAAAGAUUAGGGAAAGCAAAAGAAGAACCCAUUUCUUGUGUAUACGAGGGAUGCAUGUAUGUGAUUUUUGUGCUGCAAGAUGACAAAAUUGAACUGCUUGGAUUUGGAUAUAUGGUAUUGAAAAGAAGAUACCAUUUUUAUAGUCAAAAGAUGUUGGAAAAAUUGAAAAAGACAAAAAAAAAAAGGUU
This 201-nucleotide unclassified non-coding RNA is filed under the name Hevea brasiliensis (rubber tree). Lineage: Eukaryota; Viridiplantae; Streptophyta; Magnoliopsida; Malpighiales; Euphorbiaceae. The record is from RNAcentral.